Molecule: ribosomal RNA, 427 nt
Filed under: uncultured Oscillospiraceae bacterium
Lineage: Bacteria; Bacillati; Bacillota; Clostridia; Eubacteriales; Oscillospiraceae
Description: bacterial SSU rRNA
Rfam family: Bacterial small subunit ribosomal RNA
Source: RNAcentral
ACGGAAGGCAGCAGUGGGGAAUAUUGCACAAUGGGCGCAAGCCUGAUGCAGCAACGCCGCGUGAGGGAAGACGGUCUUCGGAUUGUAAACCUUUGUCUUUGGUGAAGAAGAAAGUGACGGUAGCCAAGGAGGAAGCCACGGCUAACUACGUGCCAGCAGCCGCGGUAAUACGUAGGUGGCAAGCGUUGUACGGAAUUACUGGGUGUAAAGGGAGCGCAGGCGGGACAGCAAGUUGGAUGUGAAAUACCGAGGCUUAACCACGGAGCUGCAUCCAAAACUGCUGUUCUUGAGUGAAGUAGAGGUAGGCGGAAUUCCGAGUGUAGCGGUGAAAUGCGUAGAUAUUCGGAGGAACACCAGAGGCGAAGGCGGCCUACUGGGCUUUAACGGACGCUGAGGCUCGAGAGUGUGGGGAGCAAACAGGAGUAGA